AUGGAUGAUCUGGAACGCCGUCUGCAGCUUGCCGUGGUGAUGUACGUCGGAGGGGCCAGACCGCUGGUGACCUGUGAGGAUGCGGCUGUUGCGAUCUCGGCGCAGCUCGGCAUUCCAAGGUUUCGUUUUUCGAUUCACAAGUUUCACCCGGAAGAUUUCUUGGUGGUUUUCGCUGCUCAUCAGUUCAGGAACAUGGCGCUGGCGGUGCCUUCGAUCGAGCACAGAGGUGUGAAGCUAUUCAUCAAGCCAUGGUUGAGGCAAGCGCAGGCAACGUCAAGGCUGAUGAGAGUCCAGGUGGACAUCAUGAUUGAGGGCAUGCCGUCGCAUGUCUGGUCGCAGGCCACGGCAGCAGAGAUUUUGGGCAGUGGUUGCUUGAUUGAGAGCUUGGCGCCGGAGACGGCCAGCAAGGAGGAUCUUUUGUUAUUCAAACUACGGGCUUGGUGCGUAGACCCUGACGACGUCCCGGUGUUCCGCAGAAUUUGGGUUCCGGAGCCGGACGGAGAUUUGGCGAGCACGGCGGCGAGACGGCCAUCCUUUCGCCAGUUGUUGGAGUACCCUGCGUACGUGCACAUAGGGCGGAUGCGUGACUGCACGCCGCCGGAGCUCUGGAGGAGGGGGUCCGGCUCGGAUGACGCUAGCGGACAGAGUGGCCUCCCGGACAGCUCCAAUGGCUCGUUCCAUGGCGGAGAAUGGGUGGUGCAGCCUUGGUCCCGCGGCGUCCGUGACAACAGGGGGCCGGCGAGCGGCGGAGCCGGUGGGGGUGCAGGACGAUCCUACCGGGCGGUUCUGGAAGGCAGAGUGGGUCCGUCGGACUGGAGGCUGCCGCACAUGGGCAUGGGGCCCGCUGCCCCCAACGUGGCCUACGUUGCGGGUCAAGCCAAGGAGUCGGGGGUGGUCAACAGAAAUUCAAACGGCCCAACAGGAGGUCAGGAUAAGCUGGUGGAAAGCCAGGGCGCGGUGGGGUUGGCAGGCACGGAGAACUAG
This 984-nucleotide ribosomal RNA is filed under the name Triticum aestivum (bread wheat). RNAcentral describes it as "partial small subunit ribosomal RNA". Lineage: Eukaryota; Viridiplantae; Streptophyta; Magnoliopsida; Poales; Poaceae. The record is from RNAcentral.